Molecule: unclassified non-coding RNA, 347 nt
Filed under: soil metagenome
Description: partial contains 5.8S ribosomal RNA, internal transcribed spacer 2, and large subunit ribosomal RNA
Rfam family: 5.8S ribosomal RNA (bases 1-120)
Source: RNAcentral
GAUGAAGAACGCAGCGAAAUGCGAUAAGUAAUGUGAAUUGCAGAAUUCAGUGAAUCAUCGAAUCUUUGAACGCACAUUGCGCCCGCCAGUAUUCUGGCGGGCAUGCCUGUCUGAGCGUCAUUUCAACCCUCAUGCCCCUAGGGCGUGGUGUUGGGGAUCGGCCAAAGCCCGCGAGGGACGGCCGGCCCCUAAAUCUAGUGGCGGACCCGUCGUGCCUCCUCUGCGAAGUAGUGAUAUUCCGCAUCGGAGAGCGAUGAGCCCCUGCCGUUAAACCCCCAACUUUCCAAGGUUGACCUCAGAUCAGGUAGGAAUACCCGCUGAACUUAAGCAUAUCAAUAAGCGGAGGA